CCUACGGGCGGCAGCAGUGGGGAAUAUUGGACAAUGGGGGGAACCCUGAUCCAGCCAUGCCGCGUGUGUGAAGAAGGCCCUCGGGUUGUAAAGCACUUUCAGUGAGGAAGAACGCCUGGUGGUUAAUACCCAUCAGGAAAGACAUCACUCACAGAAGAAGCACCGGCUAACUCCGUGCCAGCAGCCGCGGUAAUACGGAGGGUGCGAGCGUUAAUCGGAAUUACUGGGCGUAAAGCGCGCGUAGGUGGCUUGAUAAGCCGGUUGUGAAAGCCCCGGGCUCAACCUGGGAACGGCAUCCGGAACUGUCAAGCUAGAGAGCAGGAGAGGAAGGUAGAAUUCCCGGUGUAGCGGUGAAAUGCGUAGAGAUCGGGAGGAAUACCAGUGGCGAAGGCGGCCUUCUGGACUGACACUGACACUGAGGUGCGAAAGCGUGGGUAGCAAACAGGAUUAGAUACCCGUGUAGUC
This 465-nucleotide ribosomal RNA is filed under the name Vreelandella stevensii. Its description in RNAcentral is "partial 16S ribosomal RNA". It matches the Rfam family "Bacterial small subunit ribosomal RNA", at positions 338 to 795 of the family's 1533-position model. Lineage: Bacteria; Pseudomonadati; Pseudomonadota; Gammaproteobacteria; Oceanospirillales; Halomonadaceae. The record is from RNAcentral.